This 433-nucleotide ribosomal RNA is filed under the name uncultured bacterium. RNAcentral's name for it is "partial 16S ribosomal RNA". It matches the Rfam family "Bacterial small subunit ribosomal RNA", at positions 29 to 507 of the family's 1533-position model. The record is from RNAcentral.
AACGAACGCUGGCGGCAUGCCUAACACAUGCAAGUCGAACGAGACCUUCGGGUCUAGUGGCGCACGGGUGCGUAACGCGUGGGAAUCUGCCCUUGGGUUCGGAAUAACAGUUGGAAACGACUGCUAAUACCGGAUGAUGACGUAAGUCCAAAGAUUUAUCGCCCAAGGAUGAGCCCGCGUAGGAUUAGCUAGUUGGUGAGGUAAAGGCUCACCAAGGCGACGAUCCUUAGCUGGUCUGAGAGGAUGAUCAGCCACACUGGGACUGAGACACGGCCGAGACUCCUACGGGAGGCAGCAGUGGGGAAUAUUGGACAAUGGGCGAAAGCCUGAUCCAGCAAUGCCGCGUGAGUGAUGAAGGCCUUAGGGUUGUAAAGCUCUUUUACCCGGGAUGAUAAUGACAGUACCGGGAGAAUAAGCUCCGGCUAACUCCGUG